Molecule: ribosomal RNA, 497 nt
Filed under: uncultured bacterium
Lineage: Bacteria
Description: partial 16S ribosomal RNA
Rfam family: Bacterial small subunit ribosomal RNA
Source: RNAcentral
GACGAACGCUGGCGGCGUGCCUAAUACAUGCAAGUUGAGCGCUGAAGGUUGGUACUUGUACCAACUGGAUGAGCAGCGAACGGGUGAGUAACGCGUGGGGAAUCUGCCUUUGAGCGGGGGACAACAUUUGGAAACGAAUGCUAAUACCGCAUAAAAACUUUAAACACAAGUUUUAAGUUUGAAAGAUGCAAUUGCAUCACUCAAAGAUGAUCCCGCGUUGUAUUAGCUAGUUGGUGAGGUAAAGGCUCACCAAGGCGAUGAUACAUAGCCGACCUGAGAGGGUGAUCGGCCACAGUGGGACUGAGACACGGCCCAAACCCCUAUGGGAGGCAGCAGUAGGGAAUCUUCGGCAAUGGACGAAAGUCUGACCGAGCAACGCCGCGUGAGUGAAGAAGGUUUUCGGAUCGUAAAACUCUGUUGGUAGAGAAGAACGUUGGUGAGAGUGGAAAGCUCAUCAAGUGACGGUAACUACCCAGAAAGGGACGGCUAACUACGUG